This is an RNA transcript of Pan troglodytes (chimpanzee), 3353 nucleotides long. It is a transcript of the gene named SUMO-interacting motif-containing protein 1-like, with no coding region annotated. The record is from RefSeq and is a predicted model, not a curated record. Lineage: Eukaryota; Metazoa; Chordata; Mammalia; Primates; Hominidae. The transcript has 5 exons.
CGCCGCCGCCCCCGCCACCCCCGCCCCCGCCGCCGCCGCUGCCGCCGCCACCUGCACCUCAGAAGCAGGAACCGAAGUUGUCGCCGCCGCCACUGCCUGGGUCUCCGGCCGCCCGCGCGCUGGCUCGGUCGGGGCCCGCAGCCAUGGAGGAUUUCAUCGUGAUCUCGGACGACAGCGGCUCUGAGAGCUCCGGGGGCGCCCGCCCGGGCCGGUCGCGGAGGCUGCGCCGGGCCCUGUCGCGAACCUCCGGCGCGCUGCCCCGCCGGACCGUGGACUUCAUUGACUUAACUAGAGAGACCAGACCAAGGACAAAAGAUCGCAGUGGACUGUAUGUGAUUGACCUGACAAGAGCUGAGGGAGAAAAUAGACCUAUUGCCACUCUUGACUUAACUUUAGAACCUGUCACUCCUUCCCAGAGGGAGCCAACCAGUCUUCAGACAUGUGCCAGCCUCUCUGGCAAAGCGGUGAUGGAAGGGCAGGUGGACAGAAGCUCUCAGCCUACAGCACGGAGACUCAUUAACAGUGACCCUGUAGAUUUGGACCUAGUGGAAGAAAACACCUUUGUAGGUCCCCCACCCGCUACAUCCAUCAGCGGAGGCUCUGUUUAUCCAACAGAGCCUAAUUGUAGCUCAGCCACAUUCACAGGGAACCUCAGCUUCUUGGCAAGCCUACAGCUGUCUUCAGAUGUUAGCUCCCUCUCCCCAACAAGCAAUAAUAGUAGCAGCAGCAGCAGCAGCAGCAAUCAAAAAGCACCCUUGCCAUGCCCACAGCAAGAUGUGUCUCGCCCACCACAAGCCUUGCCUUGCCCACUGAGAGCCUCACCUUGUCCACCACGAGCCUUGUCAUGCCCAUCACAAACCAUGCAGUGCCAACUACCAGCUCUAACUCACCCACCUCAAGAAGUGCCAUGCCCUCGGCAGAAUAUCCCAAGCCCACCUCAAGACUCGUUAUGGCAUCCUCAACACUCACCAAGCCCACCUCAAGACUCUCUGGGCCUACCUCAAGAUGUGCCAGGCCCGCCUCAAAGCAUAUUACAUCCACAAGAUGUGGCAUACCUGCAAGACAUGCCACAGUCACCAGGAGAUGUGCCACGGUCACCAGGAACCAUGCCACCAUCACCAGAUGUGCCACAGUCACCAGGAGACAUGCUAGGGCCACCAGGAGAUGUGCCACAGUCACCAAGUUAUGUUUCACCGUCACCAGAUGCACCACAGUCACCAGGGGGCAUGCCACACUUACCGGGAGAUGUGUUAUGUUCACCUGGAGACAUGCCACACUCAUCAGGGGACGUGACACACUCACCUAGAGACAUCCCUCACUUACCAGGAGACAGGCCUGACUUUACCCAGAAUGAUGUACAGAACCGUGACAUGCCUAUGGAUAUCUCAGCUCUGUCCUCUCCAAGCUGCUCUCCCAGCCCACAGUCUGAAACUCCCUUAGAGAAAGUUCCUUGGCUCUCUGUCAUGGAAACCCUAGCCAGAAAAGAAAUAUCACUGUCAGAGCCUGCCAAACCUGGGUCUGCCCACGUACAAUCACGAACACCACAAGGUGGGUUGUACGACAGACCAUGCCUGCAUAGACUGAAGUACUUCUUACGACCUCCGGUUCAUCACCUCUUCUUUCAGACGCUAAUACCGGAUAAAGACACAAGAGAGAACAAGGGUCAAAAAUUAGAACCCAUCCCUCAUCGAAGACUAAGAAUGGUAACAAAUACCAUUGAAGAGAAUUUUCCUCUGGGGACUGUGCAGUUUUUGAUGGACUUUGUGUCACCCCAGCAUUACCCACCAAGAGAAAUCGUGGCUCACAUCAUCCAGAAAAUCUUGCUCAGUGGCUCUGAGACUGUGGAUGUCCUAAAGGAGGCCUACAUGCUUCUCAUGAAAAUUCAACGGCUACAUCCAGCCAAUGCCAAGACAGUGGAGUGGGACUGGAAACUGCUCACCUAUGUCAUGGAGGAAGAGGUAACAACAAUUAUAAGAUUAUAUCUUCUGUAGGGGAAGUUUUAACUAUAAAGAAAAGUGAUACCAGGUGCCAUGGCUCACACCUGUAAUCCCAGCAUUUUCGGAGGCCAAGGCAGUAGGACAGUUUGAGCCCAGGAGUUUAAGGCCAGCCUGGGCAACAAAGUGAGACCCUGUCUCUACAAAAAUAAAAAUAAAAUAUUUAGCCAGGCAUAGUGAUGCAUGCCUGUGGUCCCAGCUACACAGAAGGCUGAGGCAGGAGGAUUGCUUGAGCCUAGGAGGUCAAGGCUAUAGUGAUCCAUGAUUACAACACUGUACUCCAGCCUCGGUGACAGAGCAAGACCCUGUCUUAAAAAAGAAAAGUGACAGUAAAUCUGGUAAUAAAGUCUAUACCAUUAUUCCCUCCUGAUACUCCCACCCCUGCCAAAAAAUUCCUAUUGAAAUGGUAUGUGCUAUCUUCCCAUUCAAGAUUUAGUAUAUUUACUUAUCCCUCUCCUUGAGAUCCCAUUAAAAAUAAUAGUAAAUGAAUAGAGAAAGUUAUAAAUUCAUGGCUAUGAAAAAAGGGGAAGGAUAGCAGAUUUGAAUGAAGAUUAGGGAGACCUACAGAGAAUGUAAGAGUGAUGACUGAUGAAGCUGGGCAGAGAAAGCCACAUACAUGUAAAGAGGCUACAGCCAAGGAAGGAUGAAUCUUCACUUUAGAGCACCAGAGAGGUCUUGGACUUAGAAACACAAUAUCUAAUAGAGGGCAAGAGUCAGAUGUGGGCUAUUGGAUAUUUAUUGAAAGUUUGUGAAUGCAACAGCCAACCUCUUCUUUGCUGAGGGCAGAAGGAUCAGUAGCCAGGUUACCUACCUUCAGGCAAAAAGUCAGAGAAUUUAUUGUCUAAAAAAGUUGAAUGAGGCCAGGCGUGAGCCACCACACCUGUCCUGGAGUGGGAGGCUGAGAUGGGAAUAUCACCUGAGGUCGGGAGUUCGAGGCCAGCUCAGCCAACAUGGUGAAACCCCAUCUCUACUAAAAAUAUAAACAUUAGCUGGGUGUGGUGGUGCAUGCCUGCAGUCUCAGCUACUCGGGCACAAGAAUUGCUUGAACCCAGAAGGUGGAGGUUGCAGUGAGCCAAAAUCAUGCCACUGCACUCCAGUUUGGGCAACAGAGCAAGACUCUGUCUCAAAAAAUAAAACAAGUUAUGGGUAUAUAGUAUAUAAAGAUCUAACUUAAGACAUUGAUAAUAUAAAUUGCAGUGGAGUAGUAAAGAAGUAGAGGUUUUUGUAUGCAACUGAAGUUGUUAAACUAGAUUGUUACAACUUUAAGACAUGUUAUGUGAUCUCAUUGGUAACUUCAAGUAAGAUAUCUAUAGAAUAUACCCAAAAGGAAAUGGGAAAGAAAUCAAAGUAUGUCACUAC